AAGCUCGUAGUUGAAUUUCGGGGUUCUACCGUCGGUCGGGCUACCAAGUCUGUACUGGUGUGUAAAAUUUCUACCUUCUGGAGAACCAUCAUGUUAUUAAUUUAGCGUGGUGGGAAACCAGGACCUUUACCUUGAAAAAAUUAGAGUGUUCAAAGCAGGCUUAUGUCUGAAUACAUUAGCAUGGAAUAAUAGAAUAGGACGGUGGUCCUGUUUUGUUGGUUUCUGAAUCACCGUAAUGAUUAAUAGGGAUAGUUGGG
This 257-nucleotide ribosomal RNA is filed under the name uncultured Glomeromycotina. RNAcentral describes it as "partial 18S ribosomal RNA". It matches the Rfam family "Eukaryotic small subunit ribosomal RNA", at positions 624 to 886 of the family's 1831-position model. Lineage: Eukaryota; Fungi; Glomeromycota. The record is from RNAcentral.